GAUUAACGCUAGCGGCAGGCAUAAUACAUGCAAGUUGAACGGCAGCACAGGUAGCAAUACUGGGUGGCGAGUGGCGCACGGGUGCGUAACACGUAUGCAACCUACCCUAUACAGGCGAAUAACCUUUAGAAAUGAGGGCUAAUACGCCGUAGUAUUACAGAUGGGCAUCUAUUUGUAAUUAAAGAUUUAUCGGUAUAGGAUGGGCAUGCGUCCCAUUAGUUAGUUGGUAAGGUAACGGCUUACCAAGACGAUGAUGGGUAGGGGAUCUGAGAGGACUUACCCCCACACUGGUACUGAGACACGGACCAGACUCCUACGGGAGGCAGCAGUAAGGAAUAUUGGGCAAUGGCCGCGAGGCUGACCCAGCCAUGCCGCGUGCAGGAAGACGGCCUUAUGGGUUGUAAACUGCUUUUAUACGGGAAUAAUAGAGUGUACGCGUACAUUUAUGCAAGUAUCGUAUGAAUAAGCAGCGGCUAACUCCGUG
RNAcentral lists this ribosomal RNA (484 nucleotides) under uncultured bacterium. RNAcentral describes it as "partial 16S ribosomal RNA". It matches the Rfam family "Bacterial small subunit ribosomal RNA", at positions 28 to 507 of the family's 1533-position model. The record is from RNAcentral.